AUGGCGGCCCUCGCCGCCCUCUUCGCCUCCCCGGCCCUCCCCUUUCCCUCCACCUCCGCCUCCUCCUCACCGUCAUGCUCCUGCCGCUUCCGCCGCGCCGUCGCCUGCGCUCCGCGCCACCCGCCCGCCUCACGCCGCGUCACGCGCCGCUUCGACGAGGUGGAGGGGGCGUCGAAGAAGCGGCGGGGCGGCGGCAUUGGUGGCGGCGGCGGCGGCGGAGGGGGCUCUCUGGCGUCGUCAGCGCGCAAGGAUAAGGGGCUUUCCAUCGACUUCAAGGAGUCGCAGGUUGCUGAUUUCGAGGAUCUUGAAGAGGACAAAUUCCUUAAUGCUGUUGUUAAGGUCUACUGUACUCAUAUUAGACCUGAUUAUGGGCUUCCUUGGCAGAAGCAAAGGCAACAUUCAAGCACUGGGAGUGCCUUUAUGAUUGGUGAUAACAAACUAUUGACAAAUGCACAUUGCGUUGAACAUGACACCCAGAUUAAAGUAAAGCGAAGAGGAGAUGACAAAAAGUACGUCGCCAAGGUCUUAGCUAGAGGCACAGAAUGUGAUCUUGCGAUGCUUUCUGUCGAGAAUGAAGAGUUCUGGCGAGGUACAGAACCACUUCAACUUGGUCGUUUGCCAUGUCUUCAGGAUUCAGUAACUGUUGUCGGGUAUCCUCUUGGUGGAGACACUAUAUCUGUGACAAAAGGCGUUGUAUCACGCAUUGAGGUCACACCAUAUGCGCAUGGAACAUCAGAUCUUCUUGGGGUUCAAAUUGAUGCAGCAAUAAACGCAGGAAACAGUGGUGGACCGGCUUUUAAUGAGCAAGGGGAAUGCAUUGGAGUAGCAUUUCAGGUGUUCAGGUCAGAUGAAGCUGAAAAUAUUGGAUAUGUUAUUCCAACUACAGUUGUAUCCCAUUUUUUGAAUGACUAUCGGAAAAAUGGAAAAUACACAGGAUUUCCUUGCCUGGGCGUCCUACUUCAGAAAUUGGAAAACCCAGCACUGCGUGAAAGCUUGAAGGUGCCUUCAAGUGAGGGUGUUCUUGUCCGCCGGGUUGAGCCUACAGCUCCAGCAAGCAGUGUUCUGCGAAAGGGAGAUGUGAUAACAAGUUUCGACGGUGUCUCGGUAGGAUGUGAAGGAACAGUACCAUUUCGGUCCACUGAGCGGAUUGCUUUCCGCUACCUCACAAGUCAAAAGUAUGCAGGUGAUGUUGCCCAACUAGGUAUCAUUCGGGAAGGCAAGGUCAUGAAAGUGCAAACCAUUUUGCAUCCAAGAAAACAUUUAGUGCCAUUCAAUGUUGAUGGGGGUCAACCUUCUUAUCUGAUAGUUGCCGGCCUUGUCUUCACGCCUUUAACAGAACCAUUUAUAGAGGAAGAGUGCGAAGAUACUUUAGGGUUAAAACUGUUGGCAAAGGCACGAUACUCUCUAUCAACCUUCGAAGGGGAGCAAAUCGUAAUUGUAUCUCAGGUACUGGCGAACGAUGUCAACAUCGGGUACGAGCACAUGGGCAAUCAACAAGUCAUAAAACUAAAUGGAACUAUGAUAAAGAACAUCCACCACCUUGCUCAUCUAGUGGACACCUGUCAAGACAAGUUCUUGACAUUCGAAUUCGAAGACGACUUCCUCGUUGUUUUGGAUCGGGAAGAAGCAGCGGCCGCAUCGUCAGAUAUCCAAAAGGAGCAUGCCAUCCCCUCUGUAAGGUCAUUGGAUUUGUCUGAGCCCUACGUCGACACAAACCAUGAGGUCCAAAACCAAGGCGAGGAUUUCGGCGACAGUCCCGUGACAAACUUUGAACUGGGUGUUGAUUGUCUGCUGUGGGCGUGA
RNAcentral lists this ribosomal RNA (1803 nucleotides) under Triticum aestivum (bread wheat). RNAcentral describes it as "partial small subunit ribosomal RNA". Lineage: Eukaryota; Viridiplantae; Streptophyta; Magnoliopsida; Poales; Poaceae. The record is from RNAcentral.